UGAGAACAAAAAAGAAGCUUUUUUCCUUCUCUGCUAGCGGAGAAUGGAAAAGAGCUUCUUUAUUUGGAGCGGAAAGCAUGACUGCCCAACCAAAAAUGGGUGAUUAUGCCUGUUGUAUUGCGGAGCGGCGAGCGCGAACUUCA
RNAcentral lists this small RNA (143 nucleotides) under Paenibacillus sp. P22. RNAcentral describes it as "Clostridiales-1 RNA". The record is from RNAcentral. Lineage: Bacteria; Bacillati; Bacillota; Bacilli; Caryophanales; Paenibacillaceae.